UGUCCAUAUCAUGUUAAAGCUCCGGUUCUCAUAUGAUCACUGAAGUUAAGCAACGUCGAGUCCAAUCUGUAUCUAGAUUGGUGACUGCUUGGGAAUACCAGAUUUUGUA
This is a non-coding RNA of Acanthosepion pharaonis, 109 nucleotides long. NCBI's taxonomy places the organism in Eukaryota, Metazoa, Mollusca, Cephalopoda, Sepiida, Sepiidae. The record is from the annotation of a GenBank genome assembly.